RNAcentral lists this ribosomal RNA (845 nucleotides) under uncultured fungus. RNAcentral's name for it is "eukaryotic LSU rRNA". It matches the Rfam family "Eukaryotic large subunit ribosomal RNA", at positions 117 to 821 of the family's 3401-position model. The record is from RNAcentral. Lineage: Eukaryota; Fungi.
GAAAUCUGGCUGGUUUACUAGUCCGAGUUGUAAUUUAAAGAAGCGUUUUCGGUGGCAGCCUGGGUAUAAAUCCUUUGGAAUAGGGUAUCAUAGAGGGUGAGAAUCCCGUCUUUGACCUAGUGCAUGCUACUAUGUGAUACGUUUUCAAAGAGUCGAGUUGUUUGGGAAUGCAGCUCAAAAUGGGUGGUAAAUUUCAUCUAAAGCUAAAUAUUGGCGAGAGACCGAUAGCGAACAAGUACCGUGAGGGAAAGAUGAAAAGAACUUUGAAAAGAGAGUUAAACAGUGCGUGAAAUUGUUGAAAGGGAAACGUUUGACACCAGUCAUGUGGGUGGAAAAUCAGUCUUUUGCAUUGGGGAGUUGUAAAGGUUCGGACCGCAAGGCCGGCUUUUGCUUCAUCUUUGGUGUAAGGGAUGCACUUUUUCAUCUACAGGUCAACAUCAGUUUCUUUUGCUGGACAAAACUCCGAGAGAAGGUAGCAGCUUAGGCUGUGUUAUAGCUCUGGAGCGAUACAGUGAAGGGGACUGAGGUUUUCGCAGCGUGUGCUCUCGGGCAAGGCUGGAUGGGUGCUAUGGGAUCGUUCGGGGUACAAUGCCUGGCAUUUUGCUUCGUGUCUUUUCUAUACUCGCUCAACUCAGCUCUUCCACGCUUAGGAUGUUGACUUAAUGGUUUUAAACGACCCGUCUUGAAACACGGACCAAGGAGUCUAACAUAUAUGCAAGUGUUUGGGUGGCAAACCCAUGCGCGUAAUGAAAGUGAACGUAGGUGCGAUCCGCAAGGUGCAGCAUCGACCGAUCUUGAUAUUUUUGGAUAGAUUUGAGUAAGAGCAUAUAUGCUGGGACCCGAAA